This 199-nucleotide ribosomal RNA is filed under the name Escherichia coli. Its description in RNAcentral is "partial 23S ribosomal RNA". It matches the Rfam family "Bacterial large subunit ribosomal RNA", at positions 2749 to 2925 of the family's 2925-position model. Lineage: Bacteria; Pseudomonadati; Pseudomonadota; Gammaproteobacteria; Enterobacterales; Enterobacteriaceae. The record is from RNAcentral.
CUAAAUGCGGAAGAGAUAAGUGCUGAAAGCAUCUAAGCACGAAACUUGCCCCGAGAUGAGUUCUCCCUGACCCUUUAAGGGUCCUGAAGGAACGUUGAAGACGACGACGUUGAUAGGCCGGGUGUGUAAGCGCAGCGAUGCGUUGAGCUAACCGGUACUAAUGAACCGUGAGGCUUAACCUUACAACGCCGAAGCUGUU